AUAGGGAGGUGAAAUGACUGGUGGUGGGAGGGGCUGAGAGAUUUACAGGGAGCAGAUAUCAAGCACUUUCACUUUCAGGCUAGCCUCUGCCUGAGCUCACACAGACAGACUGCCCAGAGGGCGAGAGAUAUAGUGGGUCUGUUUCUCUCACUCUGUCCAUUAGCCAUUUAAAGGGUGAGAAGAGAGUGAGGUCUGUAAUAUACUGGGUCAACAGGGGAGAGAGACAGACAGAGAGGGAGGGAGGGAGAAAGAAAGGCUGCAGCUUGACAAACUGGGAGGUGGGAAAAUCCAAAGUGAGAGCACAGUGCAGAUUGAAUGAGAGAAGGGGGUGUGGAGAUUUGGAAAGUACCAGGGAGACAAAAGGAGGAAUUCUAAAAAAGAGGUCAACUAAACUGGAGGCUCAAAAGUAGAGGAAAAAGAAAAGACUCAGAGCUCUCUCUCUGUGUCACACACUUGACGGAACCGCUGAGGAAACUUUGCCUAGUCAGACCAGAGGAUUUAUUUCAGCUGCGUAUUGCAUGCUUUCAAACACAGCAAUGGAGAAGUGGCCUUUCUCAUGAAGAUAAAAGGAUGUUACGAUCAGUUUUUCUGUUGCUAUCAAUAUUGACACUCCAAGGUAGCGGAUGUGAUUACUUUUUGAGGGGGGUUGUCGUUAAUCUUCAAACCACCCUUAACUCAGACCACGCUGGAUUUAUACUCUUGUGAAUACUGUGAUUCCUGAACCAGUUUUUUCCUCCAAGCGUAAGGUGUUCCCUAAAGACUAUUGGAUUUCCCACCACUACAAUGUCAACCUGCUGUGCAACACUGAUCCGUGUUGUGUGUUCCGAGCUGCGACUGUUCUCUCUGACUCCUGGCUCCAGCUCCGCAGCAAGCUGUGGCCAGAGCACCAUAGCUUCGAAUUCAUCUCCAACCUUAUACAAGCCCUGGGUGGCAGGGGUAUGACAAAAGGGAGAUUUGAGGAUCCUGACCCUUCAGUUCUUCCGUCUGUCUCCUCCUCUCCAGAGAAACUUCUCAACUUCACUUCAUCUGUUUUCUCCAAAUGGCUGGAGCUGGGGUGCUCGACCCCGGUGGACACUUGUCCCUUCCCCACUCUGGCCUCUCCUGCUGGGGAGGAAGAAAGGGCAGCUCUGGAAAGUAAAAAAGUGAGGCUAUUAACCACACGAGCAGUUCACAUGGAGAAUGAAGGGGAAAUAGGGAUGAGGUUACACACACCUCCACCAACCAAUAGGAGCCCACCAUCCAAAGGUGGGCUCCUAUUAGUUCUUUCUGGGUCUUUUUUUUUAAACCUUUAUUUAACUAGGCAAGUCAAUUAAGAACAAAUUUAUUUACAAUGACGGCCUACAUUGGAGCCUCCUGUUAUGUGGACUGCCUGGAUGCUACUGUAGAGCGGUUGCUAAAGUUACUGAAGUGAUCUCUAAUGGCGCACCAAAAAUGGUUUGGAGCACUUGUUGGCUUUUUCUCAAUCUGUCCAUUCUAGCUGUUCUAAUGCAGUAAGCUUUGUCAUUCAAGUGACUGACAUGCACACUUAAUCGUUGCACUGAAUGUACAACUGCAGUCAAUAUUAUGUAUAGAAUAACAGCCUUUUAAUUUACUGUCUGCACACCAGAGUUCUAUUAUCACCAUAAUAAACCAUUACGUACCUAUACAACAUAGCCAUAUGUAUAAAAAGCCAUAUUCUAUGCAAGCUAACUAAACACUAACAAGUGCUUUAUAUUGAGCAAGAUACAGAACAUAAAUUAUUGUCCAAUAUUUCUGAUCAAAUUCAUAUGAUGUUUACAAUGCAGUGGAAUGUGAAUAUUUGUUUGUUUGUUGGUCUUCAAUGAAUGUUUUUUUUUUCUAUGAACUUUUGUACAUACUGCAUCUUGUAAAUAAAAACCAUGCAGCCGU
Molecule: long non-coding RNA, 1887 nt
Organism: Oncorhynchus masou masou (cherry salmon)
Lineage: Eukaryota; Metazoa; Chordata; Actinopteri; Salmoniformes; Salmonidae
Exons: 5
Source: RefSeq, a predicted model, not a curated record